AUUCGGCUGAACCCAGACAUACAGGGAUACGAAGCCCAAGGUGAACAACAUAAAGUGGCUGCUUACGCAGAUGACCUCCUCUUCUUCGUCCGCAACCCCAGGACCACAUUGCCAUGCCUCCUCUCGGAAUUUGAUAAAUUUGGACGGAUAUCUGGAUUUAAACUUAACAUCUCAAAAUGCGAGGUCCUGAACAUCACACUUCCCACAGAAGAAUUCCUAUCAUUGGAAUCACAAUUCGCGUUCCACUGGUGCCACGGCAGGAUGAAAUACCU
This is a non-coding RNA of Pelobates cultripes (western spadefoot toad), 272 nucleotides long. Lineage: Eukaryota; Metazoa; Chordata; Amphibia; Anura; Pelobatidae. The record is from the annotation of a GenBank genome assembly.